This 254-nucleotide ribosomal RNA is filed under the name uncultured bacterium. RNAcentral's name for it is "partial 16S ribosomal RNA". It matches the Rfam family "Bacterial small subunit ribosomal RNA", at positions 524 to 776 of the family's 1533-position model. The record is from RNAcentral.
UACAGAGGUCUCAAGCGUUGUUCGGAUUUACUGGGCGUAAAGGGCGCGUAGGCGGCCACCGCAAGUCGACUGUGAAAUCUCCGGGCUUAACCCGGAAAGGUCAGCCGAUACUGCGGGGCUAGAGUGCAGAAGGGGCAACUGGAAUUCUCGGUGUAGCGGUGAAAUGCGUAGAUAUCGAGAGGAACACCUGCGGCGAAGGCGGGUUGCUGGGCUGACACUGACGCUGAUGUGCGAAAGCUAGGGGAGCGAACGGG